GGACCCGCACAAGUAGUGGAGCAUGUGGUUUAAUUCGAAGAUACGCGCAGAACCUUACCAACACUUGACAUGUUCGUCGCGACUCUAAGAGAUUAGAGUUUUCGGUUCGGCCGGACGAAACACAGGUGCUGCAUGGCUGUCGUCAGCUCGUGUCGUGAGAUGUUGGGUUAAGUCCCGCAACGAGCGCAACCCUCACUUUUAGUUGCCAUCAUUAAGUUGGGCACUCUGAAAGAACUGCCAGUGAUAAGCUGGAGGAAGGUGGGGAUGACGUCAAGUCCUCAUGGCCCUUACGUGUUGGGCUACACACGUGCUACAAUGGUAUUUACAACAGGAAGCAAGACGGCGACGUUAAGCAAAUCCUUAAAAGAUACUUCAGUUCGGAUUGCACUCUGCAACUCGAGUGCAUGAAGCUGGAAUUGCUAGUAAUCG
Molecule: ribosomal RNA, 429 nt
Filed under: uncultured bacterium
Lineage: Bacteria
Description: bacterial SSU rRNA
Rfam family: Bacterial small subunit ribosomal RNA
Source: RNAcentral